UUUAUUGCUGGAAGAUGGCCUCGCGUCCAAUUAGCUAGUUGGCGGGGUAAAUGCCCACCAAGGCGACGAUUGGUAGCCGGACUGAGAGGUUGAACGGCCACAUUGGGACUGAGACACGGCCCAGACUCCUACGGGAGGCAGCAGUGGGGAAUAUUGCACAAUGGGGGAAACCCUGAUGCAGCAACGCCGCGUGAAGGAUGAAGGUUUUCGGAUUGUAAACUUCUUUUAUUCGGGACGAAGAAAGUGACGGUACCGAAUGAAUAAGCCACGGCUAACUAC
RNAcentral lists this ribosomal RNA (279 nucleotides) under uncultured bacterium. Its description in RNAcentral is "partial 16S ribosomal RNA". It matches the Rfam family "Bacterial small subunit ribosomal RNA", at positions 211 to 504 of the family's 1533-position model. The record is from RNAcentral.